RNAcentral lists this ribosomal RNA (403 nucleotides) under uncultured bacterium. RNAcentral describes it as "bacterial SSU rRNA". It matches the Rfam family "Bacterial small subunit ribosomal RNA", at positions 355 to 774 of the family's 1533-position model. The record is from RNAcentral.
UGGGGAAUAUUGCGCAAUGGGGGAAACCCUGACGCAGCAACGCCGCGUGAUUGAAGAAGGCCUUCGGGUUGUAAAGAUCUUUAAUCAGGGACGAAAUUUGACGGUACCUGAAGAAUAAGCUCCGGCUAACUACGUGCCAGCAGCCGCGGUAAUACGUAGGGAGCAAGCGUUAUCCGGAUUUACUGGGUGUAAAGGGCGCGCAGGCGGGCCGGCAAGUUGGAAGUGAAAUCCCGGGGCUUAACCCCGGAACUGCUUUCAAAACUGCUGGUCUUGAGUGAUGGAGAGGCAGGCGGAAUUCCGUGUGUAGCGGUGAAAUGCGUAGAUAUACGGAGGAACACCAGUGGCGAAGGCGGCCUGCUGGACAUUAACUGACGCUGAGGCGCGAAAGCGUGGGGAGCAAACA